UCGGGGCCUGCAGGGCGCGCGCUGAGCGCCGGCGAGCGGCUCGCGGAGGCUCGGGCAGCAGGAGGAGCGUGUGAGCUGUGGGCGUCCCUUUAAGAGCGGCCGGCCGACCCGGCCUCCGCCUCUCAGUCCGCUGAGCGCCGGCGGUCACCUGGGGCUCGCGGGGCAGCCGGAUCGCGGCGGGGCCGGCGCGCUCGCCGCGGAGGUGGGAGACAGGGCCCUGACUCCAGGUGCCGGCAGCCGUCUUGGUGCGUGGCCGUCCCGCGCCUCUCCGCGCCGGAGGAUGCGGGAGCGCAUCUGGGCGCCGCCGCCGCUGCCGCUGCUGCUGCUGCUGCUGCUCCCGCCGCCGCUGUGGGGCGGCCCCCCGGACAGCCCGCGCCCGGAGCCGCCGCGCGAGCCCGGGCCUCUGCAGCCCUUCGACCUGCUCUACGCUAGCGGCGUGGCCGCCUACUACAGCGAGGACUACGAGCAAGCGGUGCGCGACUUGGAAGCGGCGCUGCGCAGCCACCGGCGCCUGCGGGAGGUCCGCGCGCGCUGCGCCCGCCACUGCGCCGCGCGCCGCCGGCUCGCGCCCCCCGGCGCCAGCCCCGCGGCCGAGCUGCCUUUCUUCCGCGCGCUGCUGGAGCGGGCGCGCUGCUACCGCAGCUGCCAGACUCAGCGCCUCGGGGGCCCCGCGUCCCGCCACCGCGUCAGCGAGGAUGUGCGCAGCGACUUCCAGCGCAGAGUGCCCUACAACUACCUGCAGCGGGCCUACAUCAAGCUUAACCAGCUGGAAAAGGCAGUGGAAGCAGCCCACACGUUUUUCAUGGCCAACCCCGAGCACAUGGAAAUGCAGCAGAACAUCGAGAAUUACAGAACGAUGGCUGGUGUUGAAGCACUCCACUUGGUAGAUCUAGAAGCCAAACCGCAUCUGGAGAGUUACAGUGCAGGAGUUAAACAUUAUGAGGCUGAUGACUUUGAGCUUGCUAUCGAGUACUUUGAGCAAGCUCUCAGAGAAUAUUUCAGUGAAGAUACGGAGUGCAGAGCCCUGUGUGAGGGGCCUCAUAGAUUUGAAGAGUAUGAGUACUUAGGGUACAAAGCUGGUCUCUAUGAAGCCAUUGCAGAUCACUAUAUGCAGGUGCUGGUCUGUCAGCACGAAUGUGUGAGGGAGCUUGCAACUCGCCCUGGCCGCCUCUCUCCGAUUGAGAACUUUCUUCCCCUGCAUUAUGACUACCUACAGUUUGCCUACUAUCGAGUUGGUGAAUAUGUGAAAGCCUUGGAGUGUGCCAAGGCCUAUCUUCUCCUCCAUCCAGAUGAUGAGGAUGUCCUAGACAACAUGGAUUACUAUGAGAGUCUCCUGGAUGAUACCAGUGACCCAGCAUCCAUUGAGGCCAGAGAGGAUUUGGCAAUGUUCGUGAAGCGUCAUAAAAUGGAAUCAGAACUAAUAAAAUCAGCUGCAGAGGGUCUGGGAUUUUCAUACAUGGAACCGAAUUAUUGGAUCCGAUAUGGAGGACGACAGGAUGAGAAUCGGGUCCCUUCAGGAGUGAACGUGGAAGGGGCAGAAGUUCAUGGACUGUCAAUGGGGAAAAAGUCAUCACCCAAGAUAGAUCGAGACUUAAGAGAGGGUGGCCCUCUGCUCUAUGAGAACAUCACAUUUGUCUAUAACUCGGAGCAGCUGAACGGGACUCAGCGGGUUCUCCUGGAUAACGUCCUGUCGGAAGAACAGUGCCGGGAGCUCCACAGCGUGGCCAGUGGAAUCAUGCUUGUUGGUGAUGGAUACAGAGGAAAAACUUCACCCCAUACACCCAAUGAGAAGUUUGAAGGUGCAACCGUCCUGAAAGCACUCAAAUUUGGUUACGAAGGCCGAGUCCCACUGAAGAGUGCCCGGCUGUUUUAUGACAUCAGCGAGAAGGCUCGAAAGAUUGUAGAAUCCUAUUUCAUGCUGAACUCAACCCUGUAUUUUUCCUAUACACACAUGGUCUGCCGAACUGCUCUGUCUGGUCAGCAGGAUAGAAGAACUGACCUCAGUCACCCCAUCCAUGCCGACAACUGCCUGUUGGAUCCUGAGGCCAACGAAUGCUGGAAGGAGCCUCCUGCUUACACGUUCCGGGACUAUAGUGCUCUCCUGUAUAUGAAUGAUGACUUUGAAGGAGGAGAGUUCAUUUUCACUGAGAUGGAUGCCAAGACUGUGACCGCCUCUAUCAAACCAAAGUGUGGGCGUAUGAUCAGCUUCUCGUCUGGAGGAGAGAACCCGCAUGGAGUGAAGGCGGUAACCAAGGGCCAGAGGUGUGCCGUAGCUUUGUGGUUUACCUUGGACCCGCUUUAUAGAGAACUGGAGCGAAUACAGGCCGAUGAAGUGAUCGCCAUCCUGGAUCAGGAACAGCAAGGGAAGCAUGAACUCAAUAUCAACCCCAAAGAUGAGCUAUAAAGAUGAGGGAAAGAAAAGUUCUAUCAGAUAUUUAUUUAAAUUGUUAAUCUUAUGAGAACCCUUUUAUUUUUGUACAGAGCCACGGUAUAAAUUAACAGGUUAAUCCAAGUCGCCAGAUCCCCCUUCCGUUCCUGAGGAUGCUCGCUUUGCCUCCCUCAGCCUGUCCGUCUUGGUUUCUCAUCAGGUCGUCUCUCCCCUUCCCCUCCGUGCACAGUCACGCACGCACGCGUGCAUGUCGUUUGCUGCAGAUCUGAGAGCUCAAGCAGAAAGAAUAAGUUCAUUCUUGGUGGAACUACACUUCUCUUGCAUGCUCCAGUUCUAAAGUUAGCAUGUGAUUUGGACUCAGAAGUCUUUCUGGCCCCGUGCCCUUCAGCAACACCCUCUCCCAGUGUGGGGGGGCCAUGAGCUGGAGUUCCAGGAUCCCCCGGCAGGGUCUGCACUGCCUCGCGUGUCCCUGGAUCCAGUUGGAAGAACGCUGCAGGAGAUGGAGGGGCCCAGCCUCGCCAGGGCCUUGGUGGACUUCCUGGCCCUGGGAUUUUCACCUGAGGACAAAUUUACACUGGAAGCUUCGAUUCCUCCUCCACAGUGCUCCAGAAAGGGCUGCCUGAAGACUUGUGUCUUUAAAAAAAGGUUGUUCAAGGGGUUGAAGUAGAAAGACUCUUCACCCCAGUGCCUUUGGAAGAAAAUCUUCAAUCCCACAUGACUCAGAGCAUCACCGACACGUUGCCUGAGCGUGGGGCCCAUUGAUGGGUAGGGGCAUUUUGUAAGAAAAAUGGAUUUUGGACCGAUUCCCAUCCUCAGCUACAUGUAUUUUGUUCCGCCCUCAUCUUGGCUGCUGUCCAGUUUACAGAUUCGUGCUUGGGUCUGAUUGUUUAAUACAGGGAGCCUGAUCCUGACAUCUGGCAUUUAUUUUUCUUCUCCCAAACGUUUGGUGUAUCCUCAAGUAAUGGUUUUGUGACUUCGGGGCAGCCCAGGGACAGCACUGGGCUCUGACUUGUUUGGCUGGCAGAUGCUUCAGGGCCACAAGGAAAGUGGAAACACUGCUUUUGAAGGCACGGAAAUGGUUAGCAGAGGUGUUCGUCCAGAGAACGUGUGGUCCUUGGCCAGAAUUCUAAGGAAGCCCUGCAGAGACAUUAUUUGGGGUGGGGCUGGGGUUGUUCUAGCCUUGGGAAGCCUGCUAACCGGUGGGAGAUUACUUGCCUCUGUGAGGGGCUCUAGUAGGGGUGGUAGUUCUUAAGAAAACCAGCAGAUCUAAACAUCCUCUGAAAAAUCACAUUUAUUGGUUGCCAUUUAUGAUCUUGGUUGAUGGUUAAGCACAUUCAUCCUUUGAGACUGAAAAAUUGAGUCACAGUGAGUUAUGUGAUUUCCAUCUGAUUUCCACUCAACCUUCAGCUGGGAGAAGGGAAGGAGCAUUAGGCUGUAAUCCCAGCUGGAUCCAGUAUGCCCUGCUGUGUGACCUGGAGCUACUGUCUCUCCCUUUCUGGGUUUCAGUUUCCUUAUCUGAAAAUGACAUAACAGGUUAAAUUGCUCCCAAAGGCCCUUCCGCCUCUUGCUUUAAAUACAACACAAACAAUGAACCAUGGAACACUACAUCAAAAACUAAUGAUGUACUCUAGGGUGACUAACAUAACAUAAUAAAAUAAAAUAAAACUUAAAAAGAAAGAAAGAAUAAAUAACAACGCAAAGCAAAUCAAAGGCAAAAACAAAGCCGAUUUUAGAAAUAGGCACCGAUACAACCACAUUUACUUCUGCAAACAUUUUGAGACUUGUGAAUGGGUUUCCUACGUGUCUCUGUGAUUUUUAAAACUUUAGCCCAAUUUUAGGGCUGAAACUCCCUGAGCUUUGAAAAGGUAGAUCUCUGUUUGCCGUCUCACCGAGAAGUGUUUGCUGGCACGCAGAUUUGCUGAUAGGAGAAUCCGGGCAAGAUCUAAUUUCUGUUUUCUGGCAACGAGGAGUCAACAAAGAAAACAGGCUUUGGCUCCGUGUACUCCCGCGUCCUGGGUGCCGUGGGAGCUCCGGCAGAGGCAGGGACCCGGGCACAGAUGUGGAGAUUCUGCCCCACGGAAAGUGGGUGACAGCCUCCGGAGCUGUGCCGCGGGUCCACAUCUUGUGCCAUGUGCUGAUUGCACAGAGCAGUGAUUCCUGUUUUUCAGGUUGUCCGUCCUGUUGUACCCCUGGGACAGCGUGUAUCCACUAGAGCAUUUACCUUUUAAUCUGCUCCCCAUCAAACCAUACAUAAUCGUAUUCAGAUAGUUAGGGAGUGUCUGCGGAGGACUUGAGACCAAUCUGAGCCAGGGCUGCUGAGGGGAGUUAUGUGAGAAGGCCCGACCAGGGGCGUGGGGGGCGUGGGGGCACUGAGGUCCUGGCCCAGGGUGGCGGCCGCUAGAGGAAAGGCUGCCCUUUUCGAUUUGGCCAAAGAAGGUGCUUGCUCCCCAGUCUCUGGACCCGGAGGGCUGUGUCUAUACAGAAAGGGUGCAUGUUUCUGAUUCACUCAGCAGCGCUGUGUGCUAGAGACAGCCCCGGCUGAAAGGCCCACUUUCUAGGACCUCAAGCCCAGGCCUCUUCAGCUCAGCUGCACUUGGGAAACUACCACUUGUCUGAUGACCGUUGGGUGAAAAGCCUGCAGUCUCACAAAGCUUUGACUUUCACCCUCUUACUGCGCUGGGUGCUUAUAACACAGAGCAUGCUCCCACGCUAGUACUCGGGGAGUUGUUCUGGGUACAGAUCCUGAGGCCCACUUUCCAGAUGAGGAAAUGGACAGCAGGGAAGGGAGGUUGGAGCCUGUGAUCACUCAGCUUAGAAUGUCUGUGUGUGAGCUAGGAGCACAGCCUUUUGAAGAGGACGGAGAAAAACAAUACCAGGGUUGUUUGCUCCCUUGGCCAUGCUUUCAGGCAUAUUAAAUAUAAAAUGAUACAAUAAUGUGAAGAGAAAACUACGAUUUUUAUAAAAUCUGAACUUUUGCUCCUCUCUCAUCUUCCUGCUGAGUGAUAUGUGAAGGCAUAUUUCCCCUUCUCUCCUCAGAGCUGUAUUGAAUACAGGUUGUGUAAUUCAAUGAGCUCAGCCCCACUUUCGAAAAAAUACCAUGUGCCAGAGGCUUUCUGCCUUCAUGAAGCUCACAAAAGGAAAGAGGGUUCUAGUCAGGUGUCUUUUUCCUCUUCCUUCAAAGCAGAAAGAAUCUUGAGCACAAAUUUCUUCUUGAGGAAACACUGACACGAGACAGAGUGAUAUUCUUGGAUAUGUGAGGUGCUUUCUUCAGAGCCCUGAUUAUAGAUUAUUUGACAAGAAAUUUUAGCUUUAGUGCAGCCUCAUCAUUACUGGGCACAUAGCACUUUUUGGCGCUUAUUCAGCUGAGGAGAAGCCACGGAAUGAGUCACUACGAUUUAAUAAUAUAUACCUGUGAGUUUUAAUUGAAGUACAAAUGCUGAAUUAUUUCACGUAAGACAGCCACAGGGAACAGCUCCCUCACUGACGUCAAGGAAGGAGGUAAUGGGGGCCACCUCACCAAUUCCUUAUGCCAAAUAAUGAAACACUCCAAGGUGACUGACAGUGGUAUGGCUGAGAAGUGGGGAAAAGUUGAACUGUUCCCACAUCCAGAACUCCUCAGGGAAACAGGAAUCAUUUGGCAAAAACUCCAAACCACAAGUUAAAUUCGGGCCCUUGGUCACGAUCCCUCUCCUCCUCCUGCCAAGAAGCCUGCGAUGUGAAGUGACCUCCCCACCUAGUCCCACAGCCCACCCGCAAAUCCCCUACUCCCGGAUAAUUUGAUGUUUCCAACAUGAGACAUAGAGCUGUUUUGUUUGGGACCUGGUCGAUUUCUUCAGACACAUUGAGACACGUAACCUCAACCACUCUUUGAGCUCACUGCUGGGCUGGAGCUGCAGACUCAUGCUGUCGGACCUUCCCCCUUACCUCCUAUCCCCGGGAAAAUCACCAUGUUCUCUGUACCCCCUGCUGACCUCUGAGACCAAACAACACCAAGUCUGGAACAAUCUGAUCAUCGAGCUUGGCUUGCUCUUCAAUGGGUGGGCAUCCGCCAUGUAAAAAAUUGGCAUGACGAGUCACCUCUGCCUGCAAAAACCUGGUUAAGGGCUCACAAGAAAAAUAACCAAACAGGAUGUUCCUGCCCUCUCUUUCCCUGCCACACAUUGUUAGGAGGAAAAUCUGAAUGCUCCUUUCAUUCGAUAUACAACACACCUUUUCUAGCCACUUGAUAUGAUGUACCUGAGAGGGGACGAAAGGUGACAAGGGCAGAGUUUGAGAGCCUUUCCACUUUAUGGGUCCUCCUCAGUCAUCUGUUCUGGAAGGGCCACCCACCUGCUUUCUUCAUGCCAGUCUCCACUUCAGCAGUGAAUUGGGUGUCAUCCAUCUAUCUGGGAACUCUUGCCCUUGGCCCCUCUUGUCAGAUUUAGGGGCUUUCCCUUCCUGAUGGCAGUGUGAUGGCAGAGGCUUUGGAAUCCCUAGCCAGCUUGUAGCUAAACCCUGCCUUCUUCUCCCACAUUGACGUGUCUACCGCUGAAUUACUAGCUGAUGGUAGGCGGGGAUAGAAAUGAGAACCAGGGAAGAGGCAUUACCUGCUAUGUCUCAUCUUUUUCCACUUGUAAAUCAUACAUCCCAUUGUUUCAAAGGGUUGUAAUCAUGGUUGGCAUUUAUAAAGCCUUUUUAUGGUCUCGAAGCACUUAGCAAUCAUAUGUAACUACACAAUUAUCUUGAGAGACACAUCAGAGCAACCUUCUUUUUGUGAACAGGGCAAAUGAACAGUCGCUGCGGAGGGUUAUGGCGAAGCUCUAGUCACUCAUGAAUUCAUUAAUCAGACAGUUUUUGAGUGGCUACUCCACAGUGGGUUUAAGGGGGUAUUCAAAAACGACUAAGAUUCCAGCCCUUUGAGGAAUUCAAAGUAAAGUAGAAAAAGAAAUACAUACGAACAAAUGAAACAAUACAAAAUGAGGUGAGUGAGUGCUGUGAUAAAGGGUUAUAAUAGAAGCAGGGACCGAAAGAAGGCCAUGUGAAGGGAGAGACAAGGGAGUGCUUGCAGAGAGGGAAAGCCUCACAGAAAAGGCGAUAUUUCGGCUGGGUCUUGAGUGCGCGCUCGGCCACCGGUAAGCAGAAGUGAGUCAUGUGACCUCUCAUUCCCCCACAGUGGCCUCCACCGAAAAGUAUGGGAUUUGACCUGGGUGAUUUCUGGGGUUCUGAAACGUUAGGCUGUCAGAGAGGAGUUCAUAUAAAAGUUGGUGUUCCGGAGGGGGGCGGAAUGAGAUCUUUACUGCGGAUCGGCCUGGGAAAGCACUUUAAUGAAUGCUGUGAAAAUCCAAAUAAAUACCAGUUUAAGUUUUAUUUUAUUUCCUUAUGAGGAGGUAUAUUUAAGUGGGUGGGGCGAAGCUGCCAAGGACCAUGAUUCUUACUGAAAAGCAGAGGAGCCGUGAGUGUCAGGGGAAGCAGAAGUGAACUGCAUCCUUCGGGGGGCUCUUCCGGUGGCCUAGCCCUCUGCCUGCAAGUCCCAGAAACUUCCUAACUCGCAUGCCCUGGAGGCAGUCCACGCUCUCAAAUUCUUCACCUUCCAUCUCAGAAAUGGGAAUAAUGAGCAUAUCCCAGUCCACCUUAGGAUAGUCAGGUGCGUUGUCUGAAAAGCCUAAAGCAUUUGGUAAAAUCAGUCAAGCUUUUAGCAAAACCGGAAAUUUAUGCAAUAUUUUUAGUGAGGACAUCUCUUCCAAUGUCGGACAGGGAACAGGGUUUCAGAGGCUUUGGGAAUCCUUGGAAGCAAGCAAUCUCCCAACAGGAGUUAAUGAGGCCCAUUUGCCUCAUUUCAAACCAAAGGGCUGAUAGGACAUCAUGUUGUAAGUCUCCAGUCACACUUACUCUGUUUGGUCCAUGUACCUGUUUUUGGUUUGUUCAACUUUUAAAAUGUCUUUGAAAGUCUUAGGCAAUUACAUUGCUCAGAUUCAGAAUAAAUUAUAGAGCCCCGAGUCUUAGAAGCCAACUUCAAGGCUUCCGGUCACCAGAGUAAGAUCCUGGGCUCUCGUGAUCCUCCAACGUUCAGCAACGUUUACUGAACAGAUAUCAGUAUUUCUACUCGAUUUGAAGUUCAGAGUUUCAAGACCUGUUAUUCUCACAAGAUAAUACGAAUUAGAAGUACACUGCUUUGCAGUGAAUAUUGGUAAGUGAAUGAGGCCUGUUUAGCUUUUUUUCCCCUCAGUGUCCAAAAUAAAGUUAUAACAACGUUUUUUAGCAAAUUGGGUUCUGAGUAGUCAUGAUUUGAAAUGUGUCCUGCUUUUAGCUACUUAGUACAAGUGAAGGACAGGCUUGAAGGCAUUGUUGGCCCUCCCUUGACUGGGCAGGGUCAAGAUUCCCAGAAGAAUGUCCACUUUCCUUCAUUGUUUAUAGCAUGGUGGUAACUAAGUGUUUGGCCACCUUCCAGUAGACAAGGUCGUGAUUCACAUACAGGGAAAAAGAAGCCCGGAGUAGAUGAAUACUUGCCUUAAGUCAAAGUCACAGUAGAUGUGAGUUUCUUGAGUGGAAACUAAGUGGUUGGACUCUCUCAGGACACUCUGCAGUCCUGACCAUUUAUUUUAGGAAUCGCUAGGAGGCAAGAGGAACUCAUAUGGACCUACGUGACCCCAGGACUCACCACCCUUCACAUCCCAGUGGAAAUCUAGAAGGAAGCUACUGUCUUCAGCAAGAUGGUUGCUACCCUGACUCUGAGUGUGCCAGGUAUGAUUAUGGCUCUGUUCAAACAUGCUCUGGUUCCUUCCAGGGAGCACUUUGAGCCUCCUCUGAACUUCCAGGCCGCAGGGCUGAGCACAAGGUACAGAUUUUUCUUGCAGACAUUUGGCAUCUGUGUAAUGAUUUUUGUCUCUAAGGGUAAUAAAAGUACAUCAGAUGUUGCUCCCUGUACCAUGAACUUGGCUUUGAAGCGCCAGUGAGCCACUUCAAAGGCUCGACACCAUAUGGAGCUUCUGUUUCUGGGGACUCCACUCUGUCGAGGUGUGCCCGUCGACCUGGGACACAGUGCCUACCAAGGCACCUACCACUAAAGACCCGUUGUCAAAUAUGUCAAAGGUGACAAAUUGGCAUACUGAAAGCUUCAAACCACGCAGCCUUCAGAAUCAGCAUAGAAUAUACAUCAUGCUUUGAAUGCUGUGGGGGAAAAAAUGCAUCAUUUACAUGGAGAAUGAUUUACAAAUUAAAUGAAAAGAGAUCGGAGUGGCCUUCAGAGCUCAGCAUAGGGUGCUUUUGGUCAUUGUUUGUCUGAAGUCCACACUGACCUGUUCAGAGCUGUUUAGACUAGAAAGAUGAAGCCAGUGGUGGAAGCUUAAGGGAGAAUCACAGACAAAAUUAAGUUCUUUAUUUAUAAUUCAGCAAAUCAAGGCCACUGCAAACAGCAGACUCCAAGUUGGAAGGGGUUUGGAGAGCAUCAGGUCCAACAUCCCUUAUAUAAUUUAGAGUUGGGGACACGGAGGCCCAGAGAAGAAAUUUAUUUACCCAACUUUCUACACAAGUUACUGGUAGAAUCUGGACUUAAACCCGGGUCACCCGACUCCUGGUCCAGAGCUCCAUCAUGGAGUCAGGGUAGAGCAGCAAGGAAAAGUGCAGGCUUUGUGCCACCCAGACAUGGAAUAUUUGCAGCCUUUUCCCAGCUCUCUGAUUACGGACACGUUUCUUUUCCCCUCAUAUUCAAUGUCUUUGUCUGUAAAAGAGCAAGUAAUACUUAUCUGUGCGUUAUCCGAAGAUUUAAUUGAGCCAGUAGGAGGAAAAUGUCAAACACCUCCCAGGCAAUCAUUAAAAAGCAAUUGUUAUUUUUACUACAUGAGGACACGUAAAAAGAAGAAAAACAAACAGGACUAUGAUUUCUCCAGCAAUGCUUUUUCAGCUCUCAUGAUUUUUUUUUUUUUUAAUGCAUUCUCCCAUGGAGCAUCUUGGAAUCUUCAAAGUUAAUUUUCAUACAGUUAGACUUAAAAAUGAUCUCUGGCCACAAACAACACACUUCAUGCUGGGGCAGGGGCACAGGAGAAGGGAAACUUGUUCUAUAAAAUUGAAAAGGUGUUUUGUUUCCAAAUUGGUUGCCAAGCACCAGCCUAGAAGGAGAUCCUGGCCUUCCUGCAGCCACCUCGUCGGGCCCUUCUGACUUCCUCGCCUCUCUGCACUGGGACAUUUCAGUGGCUUUUCUGAGCCAACACUUUGGAAAGCACAUUUUUUCCCCCUAUUCCUUUUCCUAAACAUUCUCUCACUUUCUUUCCCAUGGUGUAGAAAGCACAGAAUCAAAGCUUAGCAGCAGAUGGCACUAUCAGCAUACUUUGCAGUAAGGGGUGAAAAGAGAUGCAUUCGUUCAUUCAUUCGUUCAUUCAUUCAUUUUGACAAGUUUCGACUUAACGUCGAAUGUGUGUUCAACCUUGAGAGGGUCACUAAACAGAAGAGGUGGUACUUACAGGGCAGGUGGGAAGAGGUAUGCUCUGGGAGGAUCCUCAGGGGACCUGUGUGAACGCCGAGGAUGUAUGUUCUGGUGGUUUUGGGAGACAGCAAGAUUGGGGCAGGCUUAAACAGCAAGGGAGGAAUUUUUGAGGGAGUUGGUCUAGAGCUGUUCCUUUAAAGGAUGAGUAGAAUAUGGAAUGGCGAAAAUGCAAAGCAGGAACGUAAAAUGGACUGUAAAAGCAAGGAGUCAUCCGCUGCUGUGGCCAUCAACACUAUAUCCCUGGCAGGUCUGACCUCCUUCGCUUUGCAUGAGCCUCGUGUCGCACGUGGGUGGCCACUCUCACAACCAUGAUCUCAUUGGGCCCUUACUGCUAUCCUCUGACUUCAGCUUUACCCCUAUGAUGAUCCGAAUUUGAUGAAUAAGAAAAUUGAGGCCCUCAGAGGAAAAGUGACUUGCUUAGGGUCACACAUGCAGUGUGUGGUAGUGCUGGGAUCCAAACCUUGAUCUCAUCCCAGCUCAUGCAGCAGGAGACCAAGGCUCUUGUGACCCAGGCCGUUACAGCGAAGAGAGCUUGGGAUGCAGAGUAAUAGGAUCAGUUUCAGCUGUCAGGCUGGCUUCAGGUUACCGAGGGCCUGAGCUAGACUAGACUGCGGUCUUGGGGCUGAUCCUGUAAAUCUCAGGGAGGAUUCUGAGGUUUGGGGAAGCUAGAGAUGGGUGUUAGAUGCUGCAGCUGCAUACGAGGGAUUGAACGAAAAGGGACAGGAAUCGGGGAGACCCAAGAAGAAGAUGUUACAGAAAUUAAGGCCAGGGGUGGGGAGUAGAUGGGAGUGCUCUGCUCCAGCGGGGAGGAGAUUUUAUGAUUGUCAUUAAUUCCUGGCAUGUAGAAAGGAAACAAAGCCGACUGACUUUUAAAAUGACUGGUUUUAAGUUUCCUAUAGACGGGGCGCCUGGGUGGCUCAUUCAGUUAAGUGUCUGCCUUUGGCUCUGGUCCGAAUCCCAGGGUCCUGGGAUUAACCUGGGUCGGGCUCUCUGCUCAGCGGGGAGCCUGCUUCGCCCUCUCUCUCCCACUCGUGUUCUCGCACACACUUCUCUCUCUCUCUCAAAUAAAUAAAAUCUUUAAAUAAAUAAAUAAAUUCCCUAUAGACAACACGUCCCCUUAUUGCCUGCACCCGGAGAGGUCUAAUCUCAUUACCCUCCACCACACCCACACCCACAAUCCUCCAUGAUACACACACACACACACACACACACACACACACACACACACACCUUAGUCCAUUACUGCCAAGGCACAACAUGAGGACAGCCUGAAUCCGGCAGGCAGCAGUGGGACAAAAGGGUAAAAGAUUAAGGAGAGACAUGUUGAAGAAAAAGAAAUAAGGACUUGGUGGCUGACAGUCACCAAGGAAAGAAGAUUAAAAUCAUGAGUCUGAGAUUUUGAGCCUAGGAAAACAAUGUCAGUGAUUCAAAUAGAGAAAAAAGGGGGUUAAAAUAAACCGGUUCCAUAGAGAAGAUGACCUGAUGGGACAUGAGGACUCCCAGUCGCUGCUGAACACUCAGCUGGAAUACAGACUUAUUUCCUACUCUGGUUAUGGAUUUCUUGCUCUUCACUUGUGAUUAAAAACUUAUAAACGAUGGUUGGCUUUUUGUUUUUUUUUUUUAUAGCUCUUUUACAAGUAAGAAAAUGAGAGAGAGAGAGAACUACCAAAUUAUUAGUGUUACCACUCCUUAUUUAAACCCCUUCCGCUGACAUCAAAACAACUGCGGAGUGAAGGCACUGGACUCAGUCUUUAAGGACAUUACAGGCAGUGGUAUUUUCCACCAGUCAAUGCUAGGGAAGAAGCAGAAUCCAAAGUUCUUAUUAAACUGUGCUUGAAAGCUAGAAAACAUUAACAGGCAAAGAGAAGCACUGUGCAAGUUACAAUUGAGGAAAAAAAUACAAUACAUACAAGAGACCUGAGGAUUCCAUAGGUGAGGAAAUACAAAGAGAGCAGAUGAUUGAGCUGAGCUGACACAGACAGUUCAUUACGGGGCCAGCGUUGAGCCUCAGCCCAGGGAUAAAUUGUUCCAGCAGCCUGGAAAAUGACACCAAGGGCGGGCCAAUCCCCAUCAGAUUACAAAGCCCUGCACUGAUACAAUUUGUGAUUAGAACACCGCUUGCAAAUCUUUCCUCCAGAUGGCCCCCAGAGUGGGUGGAUUCUCAAAUUAGUCAUAUGAGAACGGAGGGUUUAACAGAAGGGAGAUUCUAGGAGGUUCUAGGCCGUUCCAUCGGGAAAUGAAUGCAUCAGCCCUUCAGAAAUGGGAAGUAAUUCAGGACAUUUUUGUGCCUUUUGCCACGCUAUCUCUGGUGGGAGAAACAAGUCAGCCACCAUCUCGGAGAGGGUACUUGGAAGGAGGGUGGAAGGCCCUGGAUUAGUCCCUUUAAAGGAGACACUUAAGGUGCUGGAGACAUUUAAGGUGCUGCAGCCACCACACCCUGCGUGUGGGGGACCGGACCGGUUAUUCAGCUCUCCUGCGCAGCUGCUGGGUGGCUACAAACCUGAGCCCAGGAAGGAGAGGAAAGAAGAGGCAGAGAGGAACCGAACUUCUGCCAGCCCAGUGUCACAUCAAAGAAUUCCACCCAGAUCCCCACAGGUGCAGAAACCUGAGAGCCAUCACCAGGCAGAUAGUGCUGUCUCUGGUAAUUGGGUUGACAUCAUCUAGCAGCCUUAGAGGAUUUGAAUCCCUUCCAUGACUCCUGCUACCUCCCACCUGGUGGUGAAAACCUCAUGCUGGAAGCUGGGUGAUAUGCAAAAGCAAAUGCAAGGAAACUACAAGGUCACACUCCUCAAGGGAGAGUCCUCUUGUGUUCUGGCCCAGAUACAUAAGGGGAAAAGAGAACCAAGGCCCCAGCUGCCUACAAGUGGGUGCAAAGAGGAAGCCAAAGAUGGUCAUAGAAAUAUAUACUCAUGGGGGGAUGCCUGGGUGGCUCAGUCGUUAAGCAUCUGCCUUCGGCUCAGGUCAUGAUCCCAGGGUCCUGGGAUCGAGCCCUGCAUCGGGCUCCCUGCUCAGCUGGAAACCUGCUUCUCCCUCUCCUGCCCCCCCCCCGCUUGUGUUCCCUCUCUCUCUCUCUCUCUCUCUGUGUCAAAUAAAUAAAUAAAGUUAAAAAAAAAAAAAGAAAUAUAUACUCAUGGGAUUAGAAAGCUUCUUAAUAGUCAGUCCACCCCACGACCAAGGCUUGAAUCUUCAGAAUGAAUCAUCCCCAACCCCAACCAGACUGAAAGAUGCUCUGUUCCUGAAUGAGCCUUAGUCUCCCUCACUUCCCAGAUCUUUCUACAUAUAAUUUCCUCAGCCUACAAUACCCUUCCUCUUCCCCAGCUGCUUCUUGGGCCCAUCUCCUUCUUGUCCUCCAAGCCUCAUUUCAGAAAAUAUUUAGGUAAGGGACUACAGUACAUGUCCUUAGAAAUGUUUCUGUAGCCACUAGGACUUCACCUGUGAAACAUUCACUACACUGCUUUCGUGUCUGUCUCCCUCCCUGGACUGGGAGUUGCAUUAAGACAGGGACUGACUCUAUUAUGGUGAUCCAGCAGGGCCUCCAACUGGACAUAACACAGCAAAGGCAUUAAAAAAUGUGAAUGAAUGAAUGAAUGCCUACAUCUUGAGCGUGAUAAAGUAUUUGUAUUCAGAAUCUCAUAUUAUCAUUGCAUCAUGCUUGUGAAGAAAAAAAGACUUGUUAGGUUUAUAAGAAGUAAUAUGUUGGGGCGCCUGAGUGGCUCAGUCGUUAAGUGUCUGCCUUCGGCUCGGGUCAUGAUCUCAGGGUCCUGGGAUCGAGCCCCACAUCGGGCUCCCUGCUCAGCGGGAAGCCUGCUUCUCCCUCUCCCACUCCCCCUGCUUGUGUUCCCUCUCUCGCUGUGUCUCUCUCUGUCAAAUAAAU
This is an RNA transcript of Mirounga angustirostris (Northern elephant seal), 14721 nucleotides long. It is a transcript of the gene named prolyl 3-hydroxylase 2, with no coding region annotated. The transcript is spliced from 16 exons. The record is from RefSeq and is a predicted model, not a curated record. Lineage: Eukaryota; Metazoa; Chordata; Mammalia; Carnivora; Phocidae.